CGCCAUCUGUCGACUGAAAUUAUUAAUAUCAAGAGAAUAUUUGACAGCACACUGAAAAAUAGUGAGAAAAAUGGUCAUCUUUAGCGUGUAUUUUAAGGCAUUUCCUAAGGGUUUACUGAAUUGGGAAAGUAUACAUCUUAUAGAGGAACUCUUUAACUAUCAUUUGACUGUAAGAUUGUCCAAAUUCAUUUACUAGUUUCAGAAAUACAGGGCGUUUUCCACCACGUGUUUUUAUGAAAAUUUGACCAAAUACCAAUUUUUAAAGGACGUUUUAGGGCACUUUGCAUGAGUUUAUGGGAAAGAAAAUGUAUAUAUAAUGUAGAGAAUUUCUUUAGCUAUCAUAUAACAAUCAGAUUGUUUUAAUUCCUCCUUUGGUUUCAGAGAUAUACGACGUUUUCCACAACAAUGUUUAGAAAAUAUAAAAAAUAUCAAUAUUUAAGAGGAAAUUAGGGCACUUCUCAUGGAUUUCAAGGAUUAAAAUGUUCCAGAGAUAUUAGGUGUUUUCUAUACUGCUUUCAAAAAUUUUCAAGAACAAGCAAUUUUUGUUGGGAAUUUUAGGGCUGUUUCUAGCGGUUGUAAGGGUUGAGAAGAUACAUAUCUUAUAGACAAACUUUUCAGCUAUCAUCUGCUAAAAAGACGGUUUAAAUUGCUCCAUUGGAUCCAGAGAUAUGAAGUGUUUUCCCUAGAAACUUUCUGAAAUAGACAAAAAUGUAUUGAGGAGCUAUUGAGUAAACAUAGUUAUUACUUAAUUUCAAUUUCACUUUAUUUAUACAUUAUAUAAAAAUAACAACGAACAAAUUUUAACAUGAUAGUAUAAAAACGCACAAUUUCUUGCAAA
Dalotia coriaria is the source of this 838-nucleotide long non-coding RNA. RefSeq lists it as uncharacterized. Lineage: Eukaryota; Metazoa; Arthropoda; Insecta; Coleoptera; Staphylinidae. The record is from RefSeq and is a predicted model, not a curated record. The transcript has 2 exons.